Molecule: long non-coding RNA, 398 nt
Organism: Xenia sp. Carnegie-2017
Lineage: Eukaryota; Metazoa; Cnidaria; Anthozoa; Malacalcyonacea; Xeniidae
Exons: 3
Source: RefSeq, a predicted model, not a curated record
GGACGGAUUGUUAUGGCUGCUUGGUAUUUCACAUUGCGCUUCUAAGACAAACUUCCUUUGAGGUGAAACGCACAAACAUUUCGUGCCGAUGUCGACACAUCUUGGUCGUCGCCUACAAAAGUCGUCAUGUUCAGCAAGAACGUCGUCAAUAAUCUAAAAUUAUAAAAUUGUCCUCAAUUUGAUGCUACACUUGUGGGUUCCACAGAGUAUUAAAAAAUCGUCGAUACAGCAUCCUUCUUAAGGCGAAGCCGUCCUACUGAUUGCAUCGCUUCAAAAUUUUGCACGAAGCACGAACUCUCGAAAUGUUGCGAGCACAAUAUUGAGCUCUUUGUUGCCUUCAAAUUUUUGCGUCGGAUUUUUUCAAUCCAAAUAUCUCGCUUGCGCUUGUUUUCGGGAAA